This 284-nucleotide ribosomal RNA is filed under the name Enterobacter sp. 23_Ent. RNAcentral's name for it is "partial 16S ribosomal RNA". It matches the Rfam family "Bacterial small subunit ribosomal RNA", at positions 1048 to 1332 of the family's 1533-position model. Lineage: Bacteria; Pseudomonadati; Pseudomonadota; Gammaproteobacteria; Enterobacterales; Enterobacteriaceae. The record is from RNAcentral.
GCUGUCGUCAGCUCGUGUUGUGAAAUGUUGGGUUAAGUCCCGCAACGAGCGCAACCCUUAUCCUUUGUUGCCAGCGGUCCGGCCGGGAACUCAAAGGAGACUGCCAGUGAUAAACUGGAGGAAGGUGGGGAGGACGUCAAGUCAUCAUGGCCCUUACGAGUAGGGCUACACACGUGCUACAAUGGCGCAUACAAAGAGAAGCGACCUCGCGAGAGCAAGCGGACCUCAUAAAGUGCGUCGUAGUCCGGAUUGGAGUCUGCAACUCGACUCCAUGAAGUCGGAAU